Molecule: ribosomal RNA, 238 nt
Filed under: Escherichia coli
Lineage: Bacteria; Pseudomonadati; Pseudomonadota; Gammaproteobacteria; Enterobacterales; Enterobacteriaceae
Description: partial 23S ribosomal RNA
Rfam family: Bacterial large subunit ribosomal RNA
Source: RNAcentral
CCGGUAAACGGCGGCCGUAACUAUAACGGUCCUAAGGUAGCGAAAUUCCUUGUCGGGUAAGUUCCGACCUGCACGAAUGGCGUAAUGAUGGCCAGGCUGUCUCCACCCGAGACUCAGUGAAAUUGAACUCGCUGUGAAGAUGCAGUGUACCCGCGGCAAGACGGAAAGACCCCGUGAACCUUUACUAUAGCUUGACACUGAACAUUGAGCCUUGAUGUGUAGGAUAGGUGGGAGGCUU